UUUUUGGUGAAAGAGAUGCAAUUGUUGUAUUUGGGAACUAAUUUAAACAGUAUCUUAAAUCAUUUUUCUAAUUAAGUUUGGGAAAGGGGAAUAAACAAUUUCAACUAUUUUAAGUGGAUCCGAUGCAAACUUUUUUCUGUUUUUUUUUUUUUUUUUUGGUGAAAGAGAUGCAAUUGUUGUAUUUGGGAACUAAUUUAAACAGUAUAUUAAAUCAUUUUUCUAAUUAAAUUUGGGAAAGGGGAAUAAACAAUUUCAACAAUUUUAUUAUUUAACAUGCAUGUCGGCCAGAUUAUAAUGCAAAAUUUUAGGAGAAACAAAUCCAUGUGUUCUUAUAUUUCUUUAGUCAUUUCAUGUCUCCCAAAAACGAAACGAGCAUCUUCUGGAUAAGGUUCUUGACGUCAAUAAUUCAAUCAUGAAUCCUAAGUUUAUGCAUUGCUGAUCAAAUUAAACAUGGUAUAAUUUCAUUAUUAUUUUGUUGAAGUUAAUAAAUAACAUACAAAUUAUAUAAAAGAAGGAGAGAGCGAUUACAAAUAUAAAGGUUUUUCUUGACAAAGAAAAAGAACGACCACUGCUAAAGACGAAG
RNAcentral lists this long non-coding RNA (583 nucleotides) under Malus domestica (apple). RNAcentral's name for it is "long non-coding RNA (MDOM_LNC009883)". Lineage: Eukaryota; Viridiplantae; Streptophyta; Magnoliopsida; Rosales; Rosaceae. The record is from RNAcentral.